This 501-nucleotide ribosomal RNA is filed under the name Klebsiella aerogenes. Its description in RNAcentral is "partial 23S ribosomal RNA". It matches the Rfam family "Bacterial large subunit ribosomal RNA", at positions 1044 to 1548 of the family's 2925-position model. Lineage: Bacteria; Pseudomonadati; Pseudomonadota; Gammaproteobacteria; Enterobacterales; Enterobacteriaceae. The record is from RNAcentral.
GUCCCAAAGUCACAGUUAAGUGGGAAACGAUGUGGGAAGGCACAGACAGCCAGGAUGUUGGCUUAGAAGCAGCCAUCAUUUAAAGAAAGCGUAAUAGCUCACUGGUCGAGUCGGCCUGCGCGGAAGAUGUAACGGGGCUAAACUGUGCACCGAAGCUGCGGCAGCGACACUAUGUGUUGUUGGGUAGGGGAGCGUUCUGUAAGCCUGCGAAGGUGGCCUGUGAGGGUUGCUGGAGGUAUCAGAAGUGCGAAUGCUGACAUAAGUAACGAUAAUGCGGGUGAAAAGCCCGCACGCCGGAAGACCAAGGGUUCCUGUCCAACGUUAAUCGGGGCAGGGUGAGUCGACCCCUAAGGCGAGGCCGAAAGGCGUAGUCGAUGGGAAACAGGUUAAUAUUCCUGUACUUGGUGUUACUGCGAAGGGGGGACGGAGAAGGCUAUGUUAGCCGGGCGACGGUUGUCCCGGUUUAAGCAUGUAGGCGGAGGUUCCAGGUAAAUCCGGUAC